Choloepus didactylus (southern two-toed sloth) is the source of this 815-nucleotide long non-coding RNA. RefSeq lists it as uncharacterized. The transcript is spliced from 3 exons. The record is from RefSeq and is a predicted model, not a curated record. Lineage: Eukaryota; Metazoa; Chordata; Mammalia; Pilosa; Megalonychidae.
GCCCCAGUGAAAUCGGCGCGACUAGUUAGGAGGGUAUGUAGACCACUGAAAAAGAAAGGAACGCGGACUAGGAUCUGGGAGAAAUGGACUGAUGCAAGCUACAGGCUGGAGGUAGGAUCAAACGAAGGUGAAAGAUGAGGAAAUGGAGGCUCCUAGAGGCUAAGAAGCAUAUGCAAAGUCAAGCAGCUAGUAAAACAGGGGCUGGGCCUUGAACUGGGAUUGGGAACCAUGACCCUAAAGCCAGGAAAUCCCUCAGCAGGGCAUCAUUCCUAAGGGAACUGGAGGUCACUGAGCAAGUGUUCCGGUUUGCUAAUGCUGCCGUUAUGCAAAAUACCAGAUGACUGCUAGAUGCUGCUCAGGGUCUUGCAGCUGAUACGUGGCAGAACUGGAAUUUUAGAGUCUGUCUGACUCUAUCUCAUCUUAGGAGAGAAAGAGACUACUAUUUUAGCACCAUCCUCUUCCUCCUUAACCUGAGUUUUGGAUUUGGUGAGGACUAAUACAAAUAACUUCUGGAACAGGUAUUUGUUUGUAGGACUUGACCCCACUUGUGUGAAAUUAUUUCUCUUCUCUAGAGCAGCCUUAUGGGGGAAGGAAUUGAGGCACAUGAGAAAAACUGUCACAGCAAACUCAGUUCCUCAAGGUGAUGCCGUUACUAUGUGACAGACUCAAGACUCAAAACCCAGUGUUGAUCUGCACUACACAAACAGUGAACCCUAAGUUAAACCAUGGACCAUAGCUAACAAUACCAUUAUUAAAAUGUGCUUUCAUCUCUUGUAACAAAUGUUCCACACCAAUGUAAGGUGUUAAUAAGAGGG